UAACAAACUACAGUUCCCAAGAUUCUUUCGGGGGGUGGAAGCCAUGGCUAUUUAAAGUAGUAUGAUACUGCUUUAAAAGUAUAGUGUGGAUGGGGCCUUAGCUGGAUAUAAUCAUGAGAAAGCUUUCUGCAUUUGUCUUUAUUUGGCCAAUAUACUCCACCUUAAAUGAUGUAUGCCAGCCUCAUGCUCAGGGUAUUGCCAACCUUCCUUACUAAAUUAGUCUGCCAGGUGUGGCUUCAAAGAAAUGAAUGGAACACCACUGACUUUCUCAAUACCAACAGAUACUUCUAUAACUCUCUUGCCAGAUCCGUCUCUGUUCCUAGGAUUCCCUAGUCUUCAGGCACUCAAGGUUAUGCUGCUGCCGCAACUUUUUUCUUCUUCUCUCAGGCACCUCAUAUCAACAGAGGAGGCUCUUUGCAUGGUCCCUUCACCAGAGGAAGUAUGUGGCAUGGUGGCAUGGGAUAGCACCUUCUCAGUUGUGGCACUCAAUGUCUCUAGAAUGGCCUGCCUUUGAGGAACAUCUGGUGCCAAUAUUGAUGACACACCUCUUUGCCCAGGCCUUUGGUAAGGGGUUGAGUGACUAUGCCAAUAUGCCAGUUGCUAUUGACUUUAUCACCUGUUGCUUGUUUAUCAGUGCUCUGUUGAUAUUUAGUUGUUUUAUAUUUUUGUAUUUGAUUUAUUGUAUAGAAUUUUUAUUGCUGUUUUUAUGUAACCUGCCUUUGGAUCACUUGAUGAAUGACAGGAUAGAAAUGGAAUAAAUAAAUAAAUAAAUAAUAUCACCCAACUACAACAAAAAAUAAGUGAGUACCGGCCCGGGGUCCCCUCUGAAUUCAGCCAGUGGUACUUCCAGCUACUGAGAGCAGGGCAUCACAUUUAUCCUGUACCUUGUGCCAUUCAUUAUAUUUUGUAUAACUGUAUCUGUUGGUAGAAUUCCUUUCAUUGUCAAGCUGCUUUUCAAUGUCUUCUUGCAGGUUUUGAAAUAAAAUUCUGCAUGAUACAAAACAUUAA
Rhineura floridana is the source of this 1008-nucleotide long non-coding RNA. RefSeq lists it as uncharacterized. The transcript is spliced from 3 exons. Lineage: Eukaryota; Metazoa; Chordata; Lepidosauria; Squamata; Rhineuridae. The record is from RefSeq and is a predicted model, not a curated record.